Brassica napus (rape) is the source of this 1322-nucleotide long non-coding RNA. RefSeq lists it as uncharacterized. The transcript is spliced from 4 exons. The record is from RefSeq and is a predicted model, not a curated record. NCBI's taxonomy places the organism in Eukaryota, Viridiplantae, Streptophyta, Magnoliopsida, Brassicales, Brassicaceae.
GUAUAACAACGAAACGGGUUCCUCGCUAAUUCCUCGUAACACUGCUUUUACGACGAAGUGACGAGGAAAACUGCCCUCGUAAAACUUUUGUUUUCUUGUAGUGCAUUGGAAUGGGGGGUCUCCACUUCAUGGAGCCCCAAUUUGAAAAAAAAAACUUAUAUACAUAUAAAUUUAUACUAUAUAAAACAUAAAAAUGUUAAAGAUAUUAAGUAAAAAUUAUAUUAUUAGAUAAAAUUUAUGAUUAUUCAUUUUAAAAAUAACCAUUUACAAAAUAAAAUAUAUAAUUUUUUUUUUAUUUUUACUAAAAAUUUGAUAAAAUUUCAAUUUUGUAUAGGACCUCCAUAACGUUAGGUCCGGCUCCCCGGCUCUGCUGUCCAGGUAAGUAGACCUUUUUUUUUACACAAGAAAGUUAUAAUUUAACUGUGCCUUCCAUCACAAGAAAGCAUUGCAUAUUGUUGCUGAUUGAUGACUAUAUUUAUGGUGUAAGUGUGUGUAGAUUAUUUGUAUAUUGGUUCCUAUAUGCACCUUCACUGUGUACUAGUAUUAAUACUUUCGAAGAGAUGUUUAUGAUCUUCAUCACGCCAUUCUCGGUAUCGCAUUCUCAUGUCUUGUGACUGGAGUCACCACGGACUCCAUCAAAGAUGCAGUCGAUUGGCCACGACCUAACUUCUUUUACCGAUGUUUUCCCGACGGUAAACCGGAAUGCAGAAAUUUGACCCGGAAACUAGGAUGUUGUACCAUGGAGUUAAAAAGAUAAUCAAAGAAGGUUACAAGAGUUUCCCUAGUGGUCACACUUCAUGGUCAUUUGCUGGUUUAACAUUCUUGGCGUGUUACUUAUCGGGUAAAAUCAAAGUCUUUGACAGAAGGGGACAUGUGGCGAAGCUAUGCCUUGUGUUCUUACCGAUACUCGUCGCAGUUCUUAUCGGAAUAUCACGUGUCGACGACUAUUGGCACCAUUGGACCGACGUCUUCGCCGGAACGAUCAUCGGAACAUUUGUCGCUUCUUUCUCUUAUCUCCACUUUUUUUCCUUACCCAUUCGACGAAAAUGGUAGUAAACAUUAUUUAUACCGUGAUGUCACUGCUUUCUUGAAUCGAGAUCUUCAAGAUUAUGAAUUUUAUUUUACCAAAAGAAAAAGAUUAUGAAUUUUAACAGAGUGGGCCCCACAUGCAUAUUUUAGAAUGUUGGCUGAGAAGAGUGGUCUAGCCACGACAAUGACACACGGAGCGGUUCUCGAGUGAUGUUGGACGAAGACGUCGAGCCUGGUUCCACCUACUUUCCGCACGAUUGUAAUCGAGAAAGCACUAUUCUGAAUUUUAAAUA